UUAACAUAAACUUUCAGAAUGCAAUGUACCAAAAAUCUGUGAUAGCAAUACAUAUGUACCUUAGAUUAGUGCCUGAGAAUUUCUGUGAUAAUAGGUUUACAUUUCUGUGUGUCAGACAGUGAGAAGUGCUUAUUAAUAUUGACAUUAUUAAAAUCAAAUCAGACGCAGUCCGACUUGACGAUAUUACAGAUGUGAAUGUGUGUCGUCCCCUGAAUAGACUAACUGACUCAACCUCUAGUUCUGACAAACAUGCCUAUUGAAUACAUUGAAAGAGCUACCAACUUGCAAUUUAUUUUCAUCAGCACGCUAAGCUAAGUCGUAUAGAUUACUUAGAUCAAUCUUUUCUGUUAAACACUUUUUGCAUAAUGACAUGCGUUUAUAGUUUGUAAAAUCCUGCCUGGUCCCAACGCUUUUUUAUGGAAUUGAAGAAAAGUAGCCUACAAUAGUAUCGCAAGAUUCAUUUUCAAUCUCCACCCAUUUGACCAUGUCGCUAAAUAUGCGUACAAAAUAUUUGAACUCCAUUUGGCAGACUGGAUGAAAAUGAGAAUUUAAUAUCCUAGUUAUUCUCACGCACGUCUUCUAUCGAUAUCGGAAGAGAAGCAAUGAAGCAGAAUAGGUUUUUACACUUGACAGACGUGCUGCAUAACGUUUGAACAGCUGUUCUUUGUUUUGAUUUGACAAGGAAAAUCUUCCCGCCUUUUUUACCGGCUAUUUUUGCAGUUGUUUUCGGUCGAUAGUGGUGAUAGUUCCCCACGAUAGUAUAUCGAUAUGCCAAAUAUCGAGUAAAUAUCUAGUAAAAAUCAAAAUUUUGCAUAUACAAAACCUAUAUAAUAAACAGCGUCUAGCCACAGACGCAAUGAAGCAACCCAAGUGUAACUAAGCCGUUAUAGCCCAGUCCCACAGAGCCCAUCCAAGCGAAACGAUUGUGAUUUAUGGUAGAUGGUGGACUGGUGUUCCUACAGAGCCACCAUCCAUUUUCCACCAUCCAUCAAAUGGUUAAAUGACCUUGAAUGCGUUUACUGACCCAUUUUGGGAGAGCGGGAGUGAAAAUGGCGAACGACAUUGGUGUAGGUCUGGGUUUUACUUCAGUAGCUGCAAAAAGUGGUUAAAAAACGGUCGGAGAAAAAAGGAGUACUUAAAAUUUGUUAUUUGUGCAUAGACCUAACCUAGUCGUGGAGACCACGUCGUCCUUAGACGAUAAGUAGGCUGCACCUGACCGUCAGCAGCGAUCCGCAGCAGCAUCAGAAGCGAUCCGCAGCAGCAUUCAGCAGCGAUCCGCAGCAACAUCAGCAGCAGCAGCUGCAGAGAUCAGCAGCGGCAUCAACGCCUCCAGCAAUUGUUUCCGUGACGACCACAUACGGUGAUUCCCUCGAUGAGUCCGUACCGGGAACGAAUACCCGCGCUGGGUACGUAGUCAUCCCUGGGACCACCGACGCAAUGCAUCCGGUCCCUUCUGGCCAAAGGUUGAGCUUCCUCCGGACUAUUAGGUACCGUACUCGUGCUGGUAAUCGCCGCAAGCAGUCUCUCCCUUUUUGCUGCAGCGUCGACCAUGACCAAACGUUCAACUCUGCAAUAAAUAAAUUGUAAAAUCAUUAGUUUAUGAAAAUCAUGCAGUCAACAUUGUGCUAAAUACUCACUGUAAAUUCUAAUCUGGAAUUAGAAGCUUAAUUCCGCGCCCUAGCCGCGCGUCUAA
Molecule: long non-coding RNA, 1693 nt
Organism: Drosophila elegans
Lineage: Eukaryota; Metazoa; Arthropoda; Insecta; Diptera; Drosophilidae
Exons: 2
Source: RefSeq, a predicted model, not a curated record